Molecule: ribosomal RNA, 520 nt
Filed under: Baruna trigranulum
Lineage: Eukaryota; Metazoa; Arthropoda; Malacostraca; Decapoda; Camptandriidae
Description: partial 12S ribosomal RNA
Source: RNAcentral
GUUGAAUGGGAGAUUUAUAGUUAAUAUAUUGUAAUAAAAGGUAAAAUUGCUGUUGUGUGUAUGUUAAGUAUAUAAAUUGAGAUUGAAGCUAAGGAAUUUUAAAUAUAAACUAGGAUUAGAUACCCUAUUAUUUUAGAAGGUUAAUUAAAACUAAAUUAGUAUUAGGUAGGUACUUAAAAAUUAAAAAAUUUGGCGGUGAUUUAGUCUUGUUAGAGGAAUUUGUCUUUUAAUCGAUAAACCACGAAUUAUUUCACUUGUCUUUGUUAAAUAUACAGUUUGUAUACCAUCAUUAUCAGGUAAUUUUUAUAAAAUAAAAUUUCUGUGGUUAGUUAGUUAAAAAAAUUAGAUCAUGGUGCAGCUUAUGGAUAAGUUAAGAUGAAUUACAAUAAAUUAUUUUAUAACGGAUUAAUAGAUUAAAUUUUAUUAUAAAGGUGGAUUUAAUUGUAUUAUAGGUUUAAUAAGCCUGUGAGAAAUGAGCUCUAAAUCAUGUACAUAUCGCCCGUCGCUUUCAUUUAUAAAU